AACGCUAGCUACAGGCUUAACACAUGCAAGUCGAGGGGCAGCGCAGUGUAGCAAUACACGGGUGGCGACCGGCGCACGGGUGCGUAACGCGUAUCCAACCUUCCCGUUACUCAGGGAUAGCCUUCCGAAAGGGAGAUUAAUACCUGAUGGUGUUUGAAUUCCGCAUGUUAUUCAAACUAAAGAUUUAUCGGUAACGGAUGGGGAUGCGUGACAUUAGGUAGAUGGCGGGGUAACGGCCCACCAUGCCUACGAUGUCUAGGGGUUCUGAGAGGAAGGUCCCACACACUGGAACUGAGACACGGUCCAGACUCCUACGGGAGGCAGCAGUGAGGAAUAUUGGUCAAUGGUCGGAAGACUGAACCAGCCAAGUAGCGUGAAGGAUGAAGGUUCUAUGGAUUGUAAACUUCUUUUAUACGGGAAUAAAACCUCCCACGUGUGGGAGCUUGUAUGUACCGUAUGAAUAAGCAUCGGCUAACUCCGUGCCAGCAGCCGCGGUAAUACGGAGGAUGCGAGCGUUAUCCGGAUUUAUUGGGUUUAAAGGGAGCGUAGACGGGGGAUUAAGUCAGUUGUGAAAGGCUGCGGCUCAACCGCAGCACUGCAGUUGAUACUGGUUCCCUUGAGUGCGGUUGAGGUGUAUGGAAUUCGUGGUGUAGCGGUGAAAUGCUUAGAUAUCACGAAGAACUCCGAUUG
RNAcentral lists this ribosomal RNA (690 nucleotides) under uncultured bacterium. RNAcentral's name for it is "bacterial SSU rRNA". It matches the Rfam family "Bacterial small subunit ribosomal RNA", at positions 32 to 715 of the family's 1533-position model. The record is from RNAcentral.